RNAcentral lists this transfer RNA (68 nucleotides) under Marmota monax (woodchuck). RNAcentral's name for it is "tRNA.Ala". Lineage: Eukaryota; Metazoa; Chordata; Mammalia; Rodentia; Sciuridae. The record is from RNAcentral.
GGAUUGUGGCUCAGAGGUAUAGUGCUUGCCUAGCAAGUGUGAGGCCCUGGGUUCAAUCCCCGGCACCA